Molecule: long non-coding RNA, 484 nt
Filed under: Elaeis guineensis (African oil palm)
Lineage: Eukaryota; Viridiplantae; Streptophyta; Magnoliopsida; Arecales; Arecaceae
Description: long non-coding RNA (EGUI_LNC049497)
Source: RNAcentral
GUGGAUUACUCCUUAGCAAGUGAAACUCUCAAAUAAGUUAUCAUUGAUCUUACUUUUGAUCGUUAGAUUGACAUAGCUAAGAACCAAGCUCUGAUACCACUUGUUAUCCAAUUAGACAACCCAAGAGGGAGAGGUGAAUUGGGUUUUCACAAAUUUAAAUAAGUAUAUGCAUAUUUUUCAAAUAAACUAAGUUAGCUACUGUGAAUAUGUAGCAAAUGUAAUGUAUAGCAACAGAAUUAAAUAAAUGAAAGCUAAACAAGAAUGUAAAGGAAGUAGAAACAAGCACACCAUACAAACACAAAGAAUUUUAAUUAUCUUGGUUCGGUGCACAUCCAGCACCUAUGUCCACUCCUUAAGCUUCAUUUGAGAAUUUUUAUAAUAAUCUUUGGAUUAUAGUGUGAUUAUUUUAGUCAGCCUCAUAAUCAAAUCUAGUUGAUUUUCUAGGAUCACUAACCCCGACCUUUACAAGCCUUUCUCUAGGCCC